Molecule: long non-coding RNA, 1240 nt
Organism: Asterias rubens (European starfish)
Lineage: Eukaryota; Metazoa; Echinodermata; Asteroidea; Forcipulatida; Asteriidae
Exons: 5
Source: RefSeq, a predicted model, not a curated record
CAACACGUCUCGAAAGAUGGUACUUUAGUGUCCAACAAAUUGAAGAUUUUACGGGAUUUCCAAUGACACGACUACCAUAAAAGCGUAAUGUUUGUCUGUCCGCCAUCACAUGAAGAUGUCAAGAGAUCACCAUUAACAAAGCUCAUAAUGAUCUGAAUAAGAUGUAGGCCUAUAACUAAGAAGUGAUUGUCCGCCACCAUCAUGAAGAUGUCAAGAGAUCACCAGUAACGAGCUCACAAUGAUCUGAAUAAGAUGUAGGCCUAAUACUAAGAAGUGUUUGUCAGCCACAGUCAUGAAGAUGUCAAGAGAGCACCAGUAACAAGCUCAUAAUUAUCUGAAUAUGAGGUAGGCCUAUAACUCAAAAGGAACCAUGUCAUCCAUGAAGCAGCAUCUAAGUCAACAGUGUCAGUUCGUAAGCAAGGCCUGAAUGAAUGAAGCCAGGCCUGAAUGAAAGAACCCAGGAAGAUUCAAGCUUCAAGCUUCGCUGAAUGGAGCGCUGACACCUGUUGCAGCCUUGGAAUUUUCAACAUAUGAACAUGAACAUGAACACAACUGAUGUUUGUACCAAAUUUGUUAUCAAAUUUUGCUUGAAAUUUCAACAAGGCUACGGUAUAUAAAAUAACGCUUGGUAAAUAUUGAAUUUAUCUGCCCAAAAAUGCAACAUGGCGUAUUUAACAAAAAGCAUUGCGAAUUUAUCCUUUUUUGCUCAAGUUUUUGCACAGUGUUGCCCAAAAUUUCAACAAAGCUUUAGCCUUGCGUAUUUUAAAAUUUUGCUCGAAUUUUGCCGAAGGCUACCUUACGUAUUUAUCAAAUUUUGCUCAAUUUUGCUCAAAUUAUGCCCAAAAGUGCAACAAGGCUAUAGCCUUGCGUAUUUAUCAAAUUUUGCCUGAAAAUUCAACAAGGCUUUAUUUUGCUCAAAUCUUGCUCGAAAAAAUCAACAAGGCUAUAUAGCAUUGCAUAUUAUUUAUCCAUGUUUAGCCUGAAAAUUCAACAUGGCUUCAUUUUGCUCAAUUUUUGCCCUGAAGGGCAACAAGGCUUGCGUAUUUAUCAAGUUUUGCCUGAAAAUUCAACAAGGCUUUGUUUUGCUCAAAUCUUGCUCGAAAAAUCAACAAGGUUAUAGCCUUGCGUAUUUAUCGAACUUUGCAUGAAAAUUCAACAAAGCUUUAUUUUGCCCAAAAGUGCAACAAGGCUAUAUAUAGCCUUGCGUUUUUAUCAAAUUUUGCCAGAAAAUUCAACAAGG